Molecule: transfer RNA, 72 nt
Filed under: Paramuricea clavata
Lineage: Eukaryota; Metazoa; Cnidaria; Anthozoa; Malacalcyonacea; Plexauridae
Rfam family: tRNA
About the family: Transfer RNA (tRNA) molecules are approximately 80 nucleotides in length.
Source: Rfam by way of RNAcentral
GACCUCGUAGCUCAGUUGGCAGAGCGUUGGCUAGUAUUCCAAAGGUCGUAGGUUCGAAUCCCACCGUGGCCA